AUGCCUACGCACCGCAUCGCACAAAGGAAAUCUGUAUCGGUGCCUGUAAGCUUAUUUUGUCUACGCGCCCGUUGACGUAGGUUCUCGAGUGCGACUGGCUGUGCGCGUGUGCGGUGGGCGCGGUUGCAAUACCGCGCAUCGCAAGGAUCGCACUCACACCCACACACGGCCGCGGAGUAGCUUCAACAGAGGAGAAGUGACAAACGACACGAACAAGAAUGAGCGCCAACGUGAACUUCUCGGCUGGCUCGCGGACGACCAAAACGGCGCCAUCAGGGCCGGCCGUGUCGCCUUCUGCCAAGAACAAGAGUCACAUGAUCUUGCCGUAUGAGGUGCUUUUCAACCUCGUCGGCCGCCGAGUGACGGUGCUCCUCACCAAGGGCUCCCAGGAGCUGGAGGGUACUUUGCAGUCUGUAGACAGUGACAAGGGCGACAUGCUGUUGUCGGAUGUGGUUCGCUACACCUGGGCCCCUUCGCGCUCAUCGGAUGAGGAGGAGACCGCCGCGGCUGCCGCGGGCAACGGACAGUGCACACUUGGCACUGUCUCCGAGGAGGAAGGGCGUUCCAAGUGCUUUGGAGGCGGGCAGCGUCGCGAGCUGAGCCGGUGCAGCCAGGCGAUGCUUAACAGCGCAUUUGUCGCCCUCGUCACGCCGACGCUCUUCAUACCGGAGGAGAGGCAUUCAGCGUUGCGAGCGCAUGAACACACAAUCGCUUGAUAUCCAUCAUUGCCGGGCAGGUGGAGGUCACGGGUGCUGGGCGUAUGCCCGUGUGCAUGCGUGUGUGGUCUGCGUCUGUGUUUUUCUCGCACCUUCCCUUGACCACCUUUCUCUUUGCCUGCUUCACGGCGCGUCCCACGGGGUUGCUUAGCUGGUAGUAUGGGCCGUCUCUCACUCCUUGUCUCCUGUCCUUCGGUGUGUGUGUGUGUGUGUUGGCACUGUCCUCUUCUCCUGUUGCACCUCGUAAAGACGAAG
Molecule: unclassified non-coding RNA, 971 nt
Filed under: Leishmania donovani
Lineage: Eukaryota; Euglenozoa; Kinetoplastea; Trypanosomatida; Trypanosomatidae
Description: gene:LdHU3.28.1270(CDS-product:hypothetical_prote in_conserved)
Source: RNAcentral